CCCUUAGAUGUUCUGGGCCGCACGCGUGCUACACUGAGUGGAUCAGCGGGUCAGGUUGCGCGAAAGUGUUUCCUAAGCUUGAAAUCCGCUCGUGAUGGGGAUUGACGGUUGCAAUUUUCCGUCAUGAACGAGGAAUACCUUGUAAGCGCGGGUCAUCAUCCCGCGCUGAAUACGUCCCUGCCCUUUGUACACACCGCCCGUCGCUCCUACCGAUUGAGUGGUCCGGUGAGGCUUUGGGAUCUGAGCAAAGAGAGCGUUUCGCUCGUUUUGCCCGGAAAACUCAGUCGAACCUUAUCAUUUAGAGGAAGGAGAAGUCGUAACA
Molecule: ribosomal RNA, 322 nt
Filed under: uncultured eukaryote
Lineage: Eukaryota
Description: partial 18S ribosomal RNA
Rfam family: Eukaryotic small subunit ribosomal RNA
Source: RNAcentral